CCUACGGGAGGCAGCAGUGAGGAAUAUUGGUCAAUGGACGAGAGUCUGAACCAGCCAAGUAGCGUGAAGGAUGACUGCCCUAUGGGUUGUAAACUUCUUUUAUAAAGGAAUAAAACGAGGCACGUGUGCCUUUUUGCAUGUACUUUAUGAAUAAGGAUCGGCUAACUCCGUGCCAGCAGCCGCGGUAAUACGGAGGAUCCGAGCGUUAUCCGGAUUUAUUGGGUUUAAAGGGAGCGUAGAUGGGUUGUUAAGUCAGUUGUGAAAGUUUGCGGCUCAACCGUAAAAUUGCAAUUGAUACUGGCAGUCGUGAGUACAGUUGAGGUAGGCGGAAUUCGUGGUGUAGCGGUGAAAUGCUUAGAUAUCACGAAGAACCACGAUUGCGAAGGCAGCUUACUAAACUGUGACUGACAUUGAUGCUCGAAAGUGUGGGUAUCAAACAGGAUUAGAUACCCGUGUAGUC
Molecule: ribosomal RNA, 460 nt
Filed under: uncultured bacterium
Lineage: Bacteria
Description: partial 16S ribosomal RNA
Rfam family: Bacterial small subunit ribosomal RNA
Source: RNAcentral